CAAUAGCAUAUAUUAAAGUUGUUGACAGUUAAAAAGCUCGUAGUUGGAUUUCUGGUACAACGCGCCUGGCCCGCUUUAUGUGAGUGCCGGUGCGCGUUUGCCAUCCUUCUAGAAAACGUUUCUACCUGGGCAACCGGGCCGGACUCGCGAUCUAGAUCUUUUACUUUGAAAAAUUAGAGUGUUUAAAGCAGGCUUUUGCUGUGAAUACAUUAGCAUGGAAUAAUAAUCUAGGACUUCGGUUCUAUUUUGUUGGUUUUCUUAGUUACUGAAGUAAUGAUUGAUAGGGAUAGUUGGGGGGUGCUAGUAUUGGCCGGCCAGAGGUGAAAUUCUUGGAUUCGGUCAAGACUAACUUAUGCGAAAGCAUUCACCAAGGAUGUCUUUCUUUUAAUCAAGAACGAAAGUUAGGGGGGAUCGGAAGACGAUCAGAUACCAU
RNAcentral lists this ribosomal RNA (433 nucleotides) under uncultured eukaryote. RNAcentral describes it as "bacterial SSU rRNA". It matches the Rfam family "Eukaryotic small subunit ribosomal RNA", at positions 592 to 1018 of the family's 1831-position model. The record is from RNAcentral.